RNAcentral lists this long non-coding RNA (2926 nucleotides) under Bemisia tabaci. RNAcentral describes it as "lncRNA ENSSSA1NGG004613". The record is from RNAcentral. Lineage: Eukaryota; Metazoa; Arthropoda; Insecta; Hemiptera; Aleyrodidae.
UAAAAAUCUUAAGAAAAUCCCAGUAAAACUUUUCUGUAGGGACGUCCAUCUGGGCUUGCAAAGCUAUCUGGCAACAUUGAUGGAAACUCUCACUUUGAAGGAAAAUUAAAUUUACACUGCUUUAUACCCAAAAUAAGUUGAUUCGCUCUCGCCUGUAGCGUUCACACGGGAUCUUAAUAAUCAAUAAAAACUGUACUGAAAUAUAAAAAUGGAGAGAAAUCCUGUAGAAAAAAGGGUUGUAGGAGUGCUUUGAUGAAGGGCAAGAAAAGUCUGCUGGUGACAAGUUGAUUGGAAAAAUUUGCCGUGAUAAUUCGAAGACUAGAACAACGUAAUCGCUCCUGAGGAAAAAGUUGAACGAUUUCAUCGAUACUGUAGACCCUGUUUUUUCUCGUUGCCGUGGUUUCAAUUUUACGCCGGUUAGUUACUCACUAAUAAACAUAUUGGAUAAAUGCGCGGUCCCUGGCAAAUAAAUAUUAUACCUGUAAUUGGGAUAAUCAUCGCUGGAGAAAGAAACUGUCUUCGGUCGGAUGGAAAGUCGAUGGCGAAUACGGAGCUGAGUAUGGAGAAUGCGGAGCUGACUACGGAGAAUGCGGAGCUGAUUACGGAGAAUGCGGAGCUGACUACGGAGAAUGCGGAGCUGACUACGGAAAAUGCGGGGCUGCGUACGGAGAAUACGGUGCUGAGUACGGAGAAUACGGAGCAGAGUACGGAGAAUACGGAGCUGAGCACUGAUAAUACGGAGCUGAACACUGGGAAUACGAAGCCGCGUACGGAGAAUACGAAGCUGAGUACGGAGAAUACGGAUGACAUCAUAUUGGAGGAGAUCUCUCAAGGACAGAUCAUCGAUGAUGGGCAAAAUGAUCCGACAGAACUCAGCCCCGAUGAGGUUUUGACCGGAGAGUGGAUUGACGAAGCAGUGAAAAACGUGGCCUUCAAUUUGAGACACUACAAGUUCAACUCUUUUGACAGGAGAUAUUUUACUGAAGACAUGAAAAACGUGACGUACGGAUUUUUCACUGCUUUUCCUAAUCCACCACUUCGGCAAUUCCAUUGGGAAGUAUACACUCAUUGCUCCACCGGCUUCUUAAAGUGUUUGAAGUACUUGAACGAAAAAAUCAAUGAGACUUAUCAUCUGCGAAAAACUGAUACUGCCACAAUAGUACAUACAUCCAAAUGGCGGCUUCCAGGAAAUCGAGAUCUUAUAAAUCAAGCAGAUGAUGAAUGCCUGAAACUAGUCGAAAUGGACCGCAAGAAAAACAAGCCCUUUCAGGGCCCUUUGGAGAAGUUCCAGUGGCAAACCUCAGCCAGCUAUUACAUGUGCUGGUAUACCAUGCAGGAUAUUCCUAACUUGGCGAUGGUCGGGGAGCCUUGCGACAACUUCGCCAACUGCUGGGACCCCGAGCGCGGUAUCACUAACCGAGACUUCCGGGCCGAUGAUCGGAAACCCUACGCAUGCGCCAUGUACAGCUUCUGUCCGGAUCCUUGCUGCCCGAAGAAGCUCGCCCGCUCGGAGGAGGAAUGCUGGAACACGGCCGAGCCCCGAUCCCCUUGCUCCCAUCUCCAGGACAAAGCUUGUUCCUUCGACCCGACCGCCAACAGGGAGCAGCUCAGCAUCAUUUACAACCACUGGAACGUCACCUGCAAGUGUUCGAGCCCCGGGUUCCGCUGGAGUUCUAAGUACGGCAUGUGUGUGGACAUUAACGAAUGCGAAAAUGGUGCCCAGGUGUGCAAAAACGAGACGGAGAUUUGCAUGAACCUUCCCGGCACUUAUAGUUGUCGUUGCUCCCUCGGCUUCGAAUGGUCGAAACUGUCGAAAUCUUGCAUCAAGAAUCAAUUCUUACACGAAGAGAUAAAUCGCGUCAUUGAAUUCUACACGCAGGAAAAUGCCGCCGCAACAAAGCAAGGGGAACCUAUGUCCAUUUCAAGCCUGGUAAAAAAGCUCAUCGGAUACAUAGGUCGGAAAAAAAUUUUCAUCGUCGAAUGGUUAAUGCUUGCGAUCGAUGACGUGUUUUAGACGAGUGGGAGACAAAACAAACUACUGUACUGCCGUGCUAAGGAAGAACGCCGUAUGAAAAUUCGAGAGUUGCCAAAUUUCCUUCGAUAAAAUUUUUAUUUUUGAGGAAAAUUAUGAAUAUUUUUCCUUGAAAUUUUCAGAGGUUUUGGAUCAAAUUACAAACAAAAUUAUCUUAGAAAUUAGUAAACAGAUAUUCAAAAAUUUUCCUGAAAAUUAGUGAUUUGCCAAGAGAAAUUUGGCAACGCCUGAAGGCUCGUGCGGUGUUUUUCCUUACCACGGCAGUGUAAUUGAUGCCAUAGAUAUUGGAAAAAUUCGGAAAUGUUUACAUUAAUUUAAUUAAUUGAUUAAUACAAUUUAAAUCGAAUUAUUAUGUAUAAUACAAUGGCCAAACUAAUGUCGAUGAGCCUCUAAUAGGAAGCUAAAAGCUUAUCUUGAUUGUAUUUAAAAUAAAAAUAUAUUGUCUUUCCAUCAAACAAAUUUAUUUCAUUAGCUCAAAAACUUGCUGGUUAUGGAAGUUCGAAAAAGAAAAAUUAUCCCUUUCAGCUUUUAGAAUGGAUUGUUUUUCCUGGGAAAAAGCUCUUCAUAAACUUUUGCCACACGUUUUAUAGAAUAAAUGAACUCGACAACCAUGAGCAGAGCUAAAAAGGAGCUAAGCCCCCCCCCCCCCCCCCAAAAAAAAAAACUUCCUACCUCCGAGAAAAUGUGACAGAUUUCACAUAAUGAGUAUUUGACAUAUCUUUGAUUUAUGCAAUUGUAUUUGGAGCACUUUAGGAUUAGGAUAUAACUCCAAAUUGCUCAUUUUUGUCAAAUUUUCCAGGAAAGACCCUUCGGCCCCCCUCUGAAGCUGAGGAAGCAAUUUCGAACCCCCUUUUUUGAGCUGGUGGAAAGCUGCUCUUCAAAGCGUCGAUACAC